RNAcentral lists this ribosomal RNA (88 nucleotides) under Algoriphagus ratkowskyi. RNAcentral describes it as "partial 16S ribosomal RNA". It matches the Rfam family "Bacterial small subunit ribosomal RNA", at positions 19 to 107 of the family's 1533-position model. Lineage: Bacteria; Pseudomonadati; Bacteroidota; Cytophagia; Cytophagales; Cyclobacteriaceae. The record is from RNAcentral.
CUGGCUCAGGAUGAACGCUAGCGGCAGGCCUAAUACAUGCAAGUCGAACGGUAGAUUACUUUCGGGUAGUUGAGAGUGGCGAACGGGU